AACCCUUGUGGAGGAGGACGCCGAAGGUGGGGCUAAUGACUGGGGUGAAGUCGUAACAAGGUAGCCGUACCGGAAGGUGCGGCUGGAUCACCUCCUAACAGGGAGACAACAAAAUGUUUAAUAUUAUUAUUUUGUCACCUUAGGUCGAUCGGUAUCUCACAUUCUUAAUUUUUAAGGAUUUUAUUUCCUAAGUUUUUUCUAGGUCACACCCAUUACUUUUCCUGGGCCAUUAGCUCAGGUGGUUAGAGCGCACCCCUGAUAAGGGUGAGGUCCCUGGUUCAAGUCCAGGAUGGCCCAUAUCUCUAUGUUGGGGGUAUAGCUCAGUUGGUAGAGCGCCUGCUUUGCAAGCAGGAUGUCAGCGGUUCGAGUCCGCUUACCUCCACUGAUUACCACCUCUUCCAUAAUUUUUAUUAAGGAAAUGUUUUGAGUAGUGAUCAAAUUCUGAACGAAUCUAGCUUCCUAAUGAACUCAUUAAGAUGCUGGACUCAUUGAAUUAUUUUCAUUGUUUUCAGAGAACCUUGACAACUGCAUAGAUUAUUUUAAAGACAAUAAGCAUCUUUAUGAUGCAGAUUUAUUAUUUGUGCGAAUGCAUUAAUAACAAUUCUAUUAAGCUGAUGCUUCAAUUAUGAAGUUAUUGGUCAAGCUACAAAGGGCUCACGGAGGAUACCUAGGCACACAGAGGCGA
RNAcentral lists this unclassified non-coding RNA (685 nucleotides) under uncultured Prochlorococcus sp. Its description in RNAcentral is "partial may contain 16S ribosomal RNA, 16S-23S ribosomal RNA intergenic spacer, and 23S ribosomal RNA". The stretch from base 1 to 98 matches the Rfam family "Bacterial small subunit ribosomal RNA", at positions 1437 to 1533 of the family's 1533-position model. Lineage: Bacteria; Bacillati; Cyanobacteriota; Cyanophyceae; Synechococcales; Prochlorococcaceae. The record is from RNAcentral.